RNAcentral lists this ribosomal RNA (467 nucleotides) under uncultured bacterium. RNAcentral's name for it is "partial 16S ribosomal RNA". It matches the Rfam family "Bacterial small subunit ribosomal RNA", at positions 28 to 507 of the family's 1533-position model. The record is from RNAcentral.
GACGAACGCUGGCGGCGUGCUUAACACAUGCAAGUCGAACGGAAAGGCCCUGCUUUUGUGGGGUGCUCGAGUGGCGAACGGGUGAGUAACACGUGAGUAACCUGCCCUUGACUUUGGGAUAACUUCAGGAAACUGGGGCUAAUACCGGAUAGGAGCUCCUGCUGCAUGGUGGGGGUUGGAAAGUUUCGGCGGUUGGGAUGGGAUUGCGGCUUAUCAGCUUGUUGGGGGGGUAGUGGCUUACCAAGGCUUUGACGGGUAGCCGGCCUGAGAGGGUGACCGGCCACAUUGGGACUGAGAUACGGCCCAGACUCCUACGGGAGGCAGCAGUGGGGAAUAUUGCACAAUGGGCGGAAGCCUGAUGCAGCAACGCCGCGUGCGGGAUGACGGCCUUCGGGUUGUAAACCGCUUUCGCCUGUGACGAAGCGUGAGUGACGGUAAUGGGUAAAGAAGCACCGGCUAACUACGUG